ACAAGCGGAGGAGCAUGUGGUUUAAUUCGAUGAUACGCGAGGAACUUACCUGGGCUCGAACGUAAGAUGACUGUAGGUGAAAGCUUACAUCUCUUCGGAGCAUUUUACGAGGUGCUGCAUGGUUGUCGUCAGCUCGUGCCGUGAGGUGUCGGGUUAAGUCCCAUAACGAGCGCAACCCCUACCUUUAGUUGCCAUCAGGUUAAGCUGGGGACUCUAAAGGAACUGCCUACGCAAGUAGUGAGGAAGGCGGGGAUGACGUCAAAUCAGCACGGCCCUUACGUCCAGGGCUACACACGUGCUACAAUGGCCGAUACAGAGGGCAGCUACCUGGUGACAGGAUGCAAAUCUCCAAAGUCGGUCUCAGUUCGGAUCGGAGUCUGCAACCCGACUCCGUGAAGUUGGAUUCGCUAGUAAUCGCGCAUCAGCCAUGGCGCGGUGAAUACGUUCCCGGGCCUU
This 456-nucleotide ribosomal RNA is filed under the name uncultured Sphingobacteriales bacterium. RNAcentral describes it as "bacterial SSU rRNA". It matches the Rfam family "Bacterial small subunit ribosomal RNA", at positions 925 to 1382 of the family's 1533-position model. Lineage: Bacteria; Pseudomonadati; Bacteroidota; Sphingobacteriia; Sphingobacteriales. The record is from RNAcentral.